This is a long non-coding RNA of Rhododendron vialii, 1511 nucleotides long. RefSeq lists it as uncharacterized. The transcript has 3 exons. The record is from RefSeq and is a predicted model, not a curated record. Lineage: Eukaryota; Viridiplantae; Streptophyta; Magnoliopsida; Ericales; Ericaceae.
UACUGUAAUAGACAGAUGUGUAAAAUCAUUUGCGAAUAUAGUGACCAUUGGGGAGUUUUGGACAAGAUAUUUUUGCUUAACCAUGUAGAUAUGUAUUUCGUGCUUUAUUGUUGAUUGAUGUUUAGUAUUCCAAUUUCCAACUGUUGUUUGUGUUUAGUUCGCCGCCCAAACAAGGUUGAUUUGUAUUUGUUUUUUUGGGGUCAGUUUUCUGAAUAUAUACGAUCGAGAUGGUGUGGACUCGAUUGGAUUGGACGAUGCUGCAAACAGAUUAGGGCUUCCGAAUUCGAAAGCUGAUAGGAAAGAGAAACCCUUGGUACCCUCCAGGAAUUGUCAGAGCACCUUGGGAUUAGCCGGUUGAAUUGAUGUCUUUCUGAUCCCACAAUGCAGGACUAUUUUGAGUAGAGAAUCCCCAAAGAUAGUCUGAGGAGUUCCAGAUUUCCCAUCAAUUUUUUCACUGCUGUGGGCCUUGGUGGCACUACAGAGAGCCUAUGAGAAGACAUGAAGAGUGUUCCAUGUCUUAUGAUGUAGCAAUUUGGAGAUUAUAGUGCCAAUCUGAUAGGGUGAAGCUCUGCAACUGUAGCCUUUUCUGUGGAAGAGAUGCCACAUCCGGUUGAGAUUGACGCAGAGAUGGCAGCAACGAGAGCGAAGAAUCUCCCACCAGCCGUCCGAUUCGAGGCCACAGACACCAGCGUCUGGAUUCCUCCUCCACGCAAUCCAAUCCGACGUAAGCUCCUCCUCUCUUUUUCCAAGCCGUCUUAGAUCGUCAGAACAGAGUCAGAUGUUUGGAAAGAACAAAAGAAGAAGUCUAGUCCACCAUCACCAUAUGAUGGAUGCUAAGGUUGCGAAAGACUUGAGUGCCGCGAUUGUUGUGGAAAAGAUCUUAGGUAGGACGAAUUACGUUCAUUUAGCCAUGCUUCCGAAAGGGGAAUGGCCAAAAUGGCGCAGGAUCCUGCGGUGGUAGUGGCCUUAACAAUUAUUCUUGUUGUUUUUGGGGCGGUGAUAACAGGUAUGUACUGGCCUUCCCUUUCAUGAAGAGAAAAUCAAAUGACACCAAGAUCCCAAAAAGUACGAAGAUGACUUCUUUUCUGUGCAGUUUAGGCUCCGUUUGUUUCUUCGUAAAACAUUUUAUGAUGUAAUAUAUUCUUUCGGUAAAUAAUUUUACCAAAAACUGUGACGCCCCGCCCUUGGAAGUUCCAGGUAAUGGUCGACCGGCCUGAGGGCGAUUGGGACCCGUGCGGGGGCUAUCUGAUCGGUGACCAGAGGGGUCAGCCGGGGGUGAUCCCACAUCGCUUGGUGAAGUACAAGUUGUGUGGUAUAAAUAAUAGAUCAUGCCCUAUCUUGUACAAGGCCUUUUAAAGCCGUAAGGGCGGGCCAAAGUGUGUUGAAACUUUGCAGUUAAGCGUACUCUUUCUGGAGCAAUCCAGGGAUGAUGACCUCACUGGAAAGUCUAUGGGCUUUGGGCGUCCAAAUCGGACAAUAUUGUACAAGGUUGGAGUGGGUUGUUACAAAAA